Molecule: ribosomal RNA, 255 nt
Filed under: uncultured bacterium
Lineage: Bacteria
Description: partial 16S ribosomal RNA
Rfam family: Bacterial small subunit ribosomal RNA
Source: RNAcentral
UACGUAGGGCGCAAGCGUUGUCCGGAAUUAUUGGGCGUAAAGAGCUCGUAGGCGGUCUGUCACGUCUGCCGUGAAAACCCGAGGCUUAACCUCGUGGCUUGCGGUGGAUACGGGCAGACUAGAGGUAGGUAGGGGAGAACGGAAUUCCCGGUGUAGCGGUGAAAUGCGCAGAUAUCGGGAGGAACACCGGUGGCGAAGGCGGUUCUCUGGGCCUUACCUGACGCUGAGGAGCGAAAGCAUGGGGAGCGAACAGGG